UACGGAGGGCGCAAGCGUUGUUCGGAAUCACUGGGCGUAAAGCGCGUGUAGGCGGCCCGGCAAGUCGGAUGUGAAAUCCCGAGGCUCAACCUCGGAACUGCACUCGAAACUGCCUGGCUCGAGUCCCGGAGAGGGUGGCGGAAUUCCCGGUGUAGGGGUGAAAUCCGUAGAUAUCGGUAGGAACACCAGUGGCGAAGGCGGCCACCUGGACGGUGACUGACGCUGAGACGCGAAAGCAUUGGCAGCAAACAGU
This 253-nucleotide ribosomal RNA is filed under the name uncultured bacterium. RNAcentral describes it as "partial 16S ribosomal RNA". It matches the Rfam family "Bacterial small subunit ribosomal RNA", at positions 524 to 776 of the family's 1533-position model. The record is from RNAcentral.